GUCGAACGGUAACAUAAAGAAGCUUGCUUCUUUGAUGACGAGUGGCGGACGGGUGAGUAAUGCUUGGGAAUCUAGCUUAUGGAGGGGGAUAACUACGGGAAACUGUAGCUAAUACCGCGUAAUAUCGAAAGAUUAAAGUGUGGGACCUUCGGGCCACAUGCCAUAGGAUGAGCCCAAGUGGGAUUAGGUAGUUGGUGAGGUAAAGGCUCACCAAGCCGACGAUCUCUAGCUGGUCUGAGAGGAUGACCAGCCACACUGGGACUGAGACACGGCCCAGACUCCUACGGGAGGCAGCAGUGGGGAAUAUUGCGCAAUGGGGGCAACCCUGACGCAGCCAUGCCGCGUGAAUGAAGAAGGCCUUCGGGUUGUAAAGUUCUUUCGGUAGCGAGGAAGGCAUUUAGUUUAAUAGACUAGGUGAUUGACGUUAACUACAGAAGAAGCACCGGCUAACUCCGUGCCAGCAGCCGCGGUAAUACGGAGGGUGCGAGCGUUAAUCGGAAUAACUGGGCGUAAAGGGCACGCAGGCGGUGACUUAAGUGAGGUGUGAAAGCCCCGGGCUUAACCUGGGAAUUGCAUUUCAUACUGGGUCGCUAGAGUACUUUAGGGAGGGGUAGAAUUCCACGUGUAGCGGUGAAAUGCGUAGAGAUGUGGAGGAAUACCGAAGGCGAAGGCAGCCCCUUGGGAAUGUACUGACGCUCAUGUGCGAAAGCGUGGGGAGCAAAC
RNAcentral lists this ribosomal RNA (723 nucleotides) under uncultured bacterium. RNAcentral describes it as "bacterial SSU rRNA". It matches the Rfam family "Bacterial small subunit ribosomal RNA", at positions 61 to 773 of the family's 1533-position model. The record is from RNAcentral.